GGGAUAUUAUGCUAGGGCUUAUACCAGCCAUUAGUUCUGAUUACUGGGGAGCUUUUGAGGCGCAAAAUGGCCGUGAUGAUUGGAAUCGCUUUCAGAGUUUCUUGGCUUUGUUGCCUGCUAAUUGUCGGGAUAACCUGUUCUACAUCAAGUGAUGGGUAUCCUGCACCAGGUUCUGAUGCAGCAUGGCUCUAUACAGGCCCACUUAGGUCUAAAGGAUAUGGUAAUUACAACUCUCCAACAGCUCAAUUGCAAGCGCAGCUGACCGAAGAACAACAUACACAUCUGGAAGCCAUCCUUCAAAAGCAACUGGCCCCCAUGCCCCAGGCACCUCAGAAAAUGUGGUAUCCAAUGCACAUUCCCCAGCAGCAACAGGAAUCCAGCUCAAAUGCCCCAGCAGCAGGAAAAGCAACCGGCCGCCAUGACCCAACAGCAGACGCUACCGGCCAGUUAUCCUAAGCAGCCUCAAGCAAUGUUGUAUCCAGCUCAAAUAACCCAGAAGCAACCAGUUACUGAACUUCAGCAUCAGAAGGAACAGGCCUCCAUACCCCAGCUACCUCAGCAAGUGUGGUAUCCAGUUCAAAUUCCUCAGCAGCAAAAGCAACCAGCUACUGGUCCUCAGCAGCAGACGGAACUGACCACCAUGCCCCAGAAGCAACCGGCUCCAAUGCCUAUACCGCAGAAACAACCAACAGCUAUGCCCCAGAAAGCAUGGUAUCCAGCUCAAAUGCAGCAGAAGCAACCGGCCACCAUGCAGCAGCAAGUGUGGCAUCCAGCUCAAUUGCCCCAGCAGCAAAAGCAACCGGCUACUGAACCUCAGCAGCAGAAGAAACCGGCCUCCAUAACCCAGCAACCUCAGCAAGUGUUGCAUCCAGCUCAAAUGCUGCUGAAGCAACUGACUGCCAUGCCCCAGCAAGUGUGGUAUCCAGCUAAGCCCCAGAAGCAACUGGCCGCUGAUCCUCAGGAGCAGAUUGAACUGACCGCCAUGCCCCAGCAACCUCAGCAAGUGUGGUAUCCAGCUCAAAUGCCCCAGAAGCAACCAACCGCUGAACCUCAGUGGCAUCCAGCCAAAUUUCCCCAGGAGCAACCCGUCCCUAUGCGUCAACUGCAGAAGGAACUGACCGCCAUUCCACCACAACUGUGGCAAUCCGCUCAAAUUCCCCAGCAGCAUAAGCAACCGGCUGCCAAGCUUCAGCAAGUGUGGCAACUGGCCCCCAUUCCCCAGCAGCCUCAUGACUUGUGGUAUCCAGCUAAAAUGGUCCAGAAGCAGCUGCAACUCGGCAGUAGGAACUGACCACCAUGCCUCAAGAGUGACAUCCAGCUCAAUUUCCCCAGCAGCAGAAACAACCAGCCCUAAGGCUUUCACCGCAGAAGGAACUGACCGCCAUACACCAGCAACCUCAGCAAGUGUGGUGUAUCCAGCUAAAAUGCCCCAGAACCAACCAACCACUGAACCCCAGCAGCAGAAGCAACCGACCACCUUGGCCAAGCAAAUGUUGUCUCAAGCUCAAAAGCCCCAGCUGCAGAAGCAACCGGCCGCUGAACCUCAGCAGCAAAUUGAACUGACCGCCAUGCCCCAGCCACCUCAGCAAUUGUGGCAUCCAGAUCAAUUUCUCCAGGAGCAGAAGCAACGAUUCACUAUGCAUCUACCACAGAAGGAACUGACCGCCAAUCCACCACAACUGUGGCAAUCCGCUCAAAUGCCCCAGCAGCAUAAGCAACCGGCUGCCAUGCUUCAGCAAGUGUGGCAUCGGGCACAGAAGCAACCGGCCCCUAUGCCCCAGCAGCCUCACGACGUGUGGUAUCCAGCUAAAACGGUCCAGAAGCAAGUCGCUGCGGUGACCGCCAUGCCGCAUACGCAUCAGCAAGUAUGGCAUCCAGCUGAAUUUCCCCAGCAGCAGAAGCAACCGGCCUCCACGCCUCUACCGCAGGAGCAACCGACCGCCGUACCCCAGCAAGUGUGGUAUCCAGCUCAAAUGUCACGGCAGCAACUGGCCUCCAUGCCUCUACCGCAGAAGCGACUGACCGACGUGCCUCAGCAAGAGUGGCAACCAGCUCAAAUACAGCAGAAGCAACCGGCUGCUGAACCGCAGCAGAACGAACCGGCCACCAUACCCCAGCAAGUGGGGUAUCCAGCUCAAAUGCCCCAGAAGCAACUGGCCCCAAUGUCCAUGCCCCAGCAGAAUCACUACGAAAGCACUGAAGAUGGUGCCUCUAGUAGCACUCAGGCCAGCAUCGUUGAACAGUCGGGUGUCAUCCCAAUCUAUUCCUACAGUUCCAAAUCGCACUACGAGAAUGGCAGGACUGUAUUCUCCUUAACCCGCUACACUCCUAGGGAGGCUAUGCUUGUUCACAUUGGAAAUGCUCCCAAGGACAGUUUUGUUCGUACUGGUGCACCAAGCGCAUAUCCAUCACUAGUGAAAGAUUCUGCAAGGAAGUGUCUGGUGCUCUUGCUACUCUAGCGUGAGGGAGUACAUGAACAGUUCUACUUUAAAAAAUGCCCUGUCUCUGUGAAAUAAUGGUUCUCGUGUCCAUUGCUUGCUAAUUGAGAACAGGUGGUGUGCAGUCUGUAGUAAAAAUGACUGCUCAGUUAAUUCUUUGGUUUUUCUAGUCUUUUACCUUUGCUACUGGUUGUUCAAAAUAAAAGCUUGGGUCUACAUUUGUCAAGGGGUGAGUUGUCAGACAUUCUUCAUAUGUUCAUACUUUAGAUGUAGGCAUGCAUUGUAUACAGUGAGACUUUCUUCAAAUCAAAUUUAUUUAUAUAGCCCUUCAUUACAUAAGCUGACAUCUCAAAGUGCUGUACAGAAACCCCAAACAGCAAGCAAUGCAGGUGUAGAAGCACAGUGGCUAGGAAAAACUCCCUAGAAAGGCCAAAACCUAGAGGAACCAGGCUAUGUGGGGUGGCCAGUCCUCUUCUGGCUGUGCCGGGUGGAGAUUAAAACAGAACAUGGCCAAGUUGUUCAAAUGUUCAUAAAUGACCUCAGUAAGUUAACAUAUAGGGAAUGUUUUUUAGAUGGUCAGACCAUGACUCAUCACCAUGGCUCAUUUAGCUACUAGAAUUGAGUGACGAGUUGGUGUUUAACUUGCAUUUCGCCUCAUACUAUAGCCCAUACCACAAAUGGCAAAGAGUAAAAUCAGUUUAGGAGUGUCUGUUCCAUAUCUAGUUGACUCAAAUGUUAUUUUGGAUGCUUCUACCUCCAUAUUUCUGUUUGUAUGGGUUACCUGUCUUACAAUUGUGGGGUUAUAGAGGGAAACGUAACUAUGUUCGGGAGUCAAUUUCCCAUAAUGGUCAGUUUGUAGGCCAAACCGUUCUGAAGCUAUAGAUGUUUUUGAGACUGCAUUUUUGGGGUGUCUGACCAACACCACUGUAGCUCGGCCCCUGUCCACUGCAGAUGCGUAAGGGUGACAGGCGGCUGCAGUGGCUUGAGACGCAGCCCAUUCUAAAUGUUCUAGCUUCAACUGGAUUUUGAUUGGCCUUUUACUUUGACUGCCUCAAUACUCUUCACCUGUAUCCCAUUCCUCCUAGUCCAUUUAUUGUACCACAGGCUCCUAUGGAAUGGUUUCGGUGUAUUUGAUUUCUACAAUGCCUGGAACGGUUUAACCGAUCAAUUAACAAAUAUAUUCUGUACAGACUGUCUUUAAACAUGCACAUUUUUCUUAACCAAUUAUUAAUCGAAC
Molecule: long non-coding RNA, 3675 nt
Organism: Oncorhynchus tshawytscha (Chinook salmon)
Lineage: Eukaryota; Metazoa; Chordata; Actinopteri; Salmoniformes; Salmonidae
Source: Ensembl